This 301-nucleotide ribosomal RNA is filed under the name uncultured bacterium. Its description in RNAcentral is "partial 16S ribosomal RNA". It matches the Rfam family "Bacterial small subunit ribosomal RNA", at positions 509 to 807 of the family's 1533-position model. The record is from RNAcentral.
CAGUCGCCGCGGGAAUACGGAGGGUGCAAGCGUUAUCCGGAUUCACUGGGUUUAAAGGGUGCGUAGGUGGGUAGGUAAGUCAGUGGUGAAAUCCCCGAGCUUAACUUGGGAACUGCCUUUGAUACUGGGUAUCUUGAGUAUGGAAGAGGUUAGUGGAAUUGCGAGUGUAGAGGUGAAAUUCGUAGAUAUUCGCAGGAACACCAGUGGCGAAGGCGGCUAACUGGUCCAUAACUGACGCUGAGGUGCGAAAGCGUGGGGAGCAAACAGGAUUAGAUACCCCCGUAGUCCCUGUCUCUUAUAC